ACAUCUUCCAAUUAAUGCAU
This 20-nucleotide microRNA is filed under the name Oryza sativa (Asian cultivated rice). RNAcentral describes it as "osa-miR2093-3p". The record is from miRBase by way of RNAcentral. Lineage: Eukaryota; Viridiplantae; Streptophyta; Magnoliopsida; Poales; Poaceae.